GGUUUUUUUUCUGGCUUGUCGCGCGGAGCCUGGGCUUAUCCUGGGUUCCCGCUCGCAGCGGUUAACAAAUAAACGCGUUGACUUUUCGUUUAAAAGUCUCAGCCUUGUUUACAACAAUUCUGGGGCCUCAUCCGGGAUAAGCCACGCCCCCUGGGCGGUCCCGAGGGAGGACAGGUCCCGGGAAGACGUCUCUGGCCGAUUUUUGCCACCCGGAGUUUGGAUUUCUUCGAGACCGUUGACGGCAGCUGGCUUUCCCGAGUAACGGCUGAGAGCACGACAACCCAGAAGGGAGAGGGCCCUCCGAGAGGGAGCGGGGCUCGCAGAUCCGAAGAACUCUGAAGGAAUAGAGCAUCCUCCCAUGCACCUAGUAAUCAGACCCUAAAAGGAAGAAAAAUAAGUUGAC
Corvus hawaiiensis (hawaiian crow) is the source of this 403-nucleotide long non-coding RNA. RefSeq lists it as uncharacterized. The transcript has 2 exons. The record is from RefSeq and is a predicted model, not a curated record. NCBI's taxonomy places the organism in Eukaryota, Metazoa, Chordata, Aves, Passeriformes, Corvidae.